Molecule: ribosomal RNA, 253 nt
Filed under: uncultured bacterium
Lineage: Bacteria
Description: partial 16S ribosomal RNA
Rfam family: Bacterial small subunit ribosomal RNA
Source: RNAcentral
GACGAGCGACACAAACGUUAUUCGGAAUUACUGGGCUUAAAGGGUGCGUAGGCGGUGCGGUAAGUUGGGUGUGAAAUCCCUCGGCUCAACCGAGGAACUGCGCCCAAAACUGCCGCACUCGAGGAAGAUAGAGGUGAGCGGAACUUACGGUGGAGCGGUGAAAUGCGUUGAUAUCGUAAGGAACACCCGUGGCGAAAGCGGCUCACUGGGUCUGCUCUGACGCUGAUGCACGAAAGCUAGGGGAGCAAACGGG